CCUACGGGUGGCAGCAGUGAGGAAUAUUGGUCAAUGGACGAGAGUCUGAACCAGCCAAGUAGCGUGAAGGAUGACUGCCCUAUGGGUUGUAAACUUCUUUUAUAUGGGACUAAAAUGUUCCACGUGUGGGAUUUUGUAUGUACCAUAUGAAUAAGGAUCGGCUAAUUCCGUGCCAGCAGCCGCGGUAAUACGGAGGAUCCGAGCGUUAUCCGGAUUUAUUGGGUUUAAGGGGAGCGUAGGUGGAUUGUUAAGUCAGUUGUGAAAGUUUGCGGCUCAACCGUAAAAUUGCAGUUGAAACUGGCAGUCUUGAGUACAGUAGAGGUGGGCGGAAUGCGUGGUGUAGCGGUGAAAUGCUUAGAUAUCACGAAGAACUCCGAUUGCGAAGGCAGUUCACUGAACUGCAACUGACACUGAGGCACGAAAGCGUGGGUAUCGAACAGGAUUAGAUACCCUAGUAGUC
RNAcentral lists this ribosomal RNA (460 nucleotides) under uncultured bacterium. RNAcentral describes it as "partial 16S ribosomal RNA". It matches the Rfam family "Bacterial small subunit ribosomal RNA", at positions 338 to 795 of the family's 1533-position model. The record is from RNAcentral.